CCGUCUAUAUACGUAUAGCAUAUCAAUAAGCGGAGGAAAAGAAACUAACUAGGAUUCCCUCAGUAACGGCGAGUGAAGCGGGAAGAGCUCAAAUUUGAAAUCUUCAAGGUUCUACCUUGACGAAUUGUAGUUUAAAGAAGUGUUUUCUGUUGGAGUUUUGGUAAAAGUUCUUUGGAAUAGGACAUCAUAGAGGGUGAGAAUCCCGUAUUUGACCAUUAUUUCCAACUUUGUGAUACACUUUCAAAGAGUCGGAUUGUUUGGGAAUGCAGUCCAAAAUGGGUGGUAAAUUUCAUCUAAAGCUAAAUACUGGCGAGAGACCGAUAGCGAACAAGUACCGUGAGGGAAAGAUGAAAAGAACUUUGAAAAGAGAGUUAAACAGUACGUGAAAUUGUCAAAAGGGAAGCGUUUGACACCAGUGUUGUUUUCUCGAAAAUCAAUUAAAAAUGAUGGGAUUUUGUGUUGUAUUGACUUUAUCAGCUUUCUGCACUCUUUUCCUUGUCUUUUUUAAUGCACUUUUCGUUUAACAAGUCAACAUCAAUUUCUUUUGUUGUAAAAGGGUCAUUGGAAGGUGGCUUUCUUUUCGGAGAAAGUGUUUAUAGCCUUUGCCUCUGCAAUCGGAGAGAUUGAGGUCUGCAGCGUAGAUCCUUCGGGGUUAGAUGCAUUUGUGCUAAGUUAUAGCCUUUCAUAGACAACUUGUUGACUAUGAUCAGUCAUGUAGCUUACUCGCUUAUGCUAUUUUACCUACGCUUAGGAUGUUGACGAUCAGCUGAGCGCG
This 775-nucleotide ribosomal RNA is filed under the name uncultured Neocallimastigales. RNAcentral's name for it is "partial large subunit ribosomal RNA". It matches the Rfam family "Eukaryotic large subunit ribosomal RNA", at positions 25 to 628 of the family's 3401-position model. The record is from RNAcentral. Lineage: Eukaryota; Fungi; Neocallimastigomycota; Neocallimastigomycetes; Neocallimastigales.